AACGAACGCUGGCGGCAUGCCUAACACAUGCAAGUCGAACGAGACCUUCGGGUCUAGUGGCGCACGGGUGCGUAACGCGUAGGAACCUGCCCUUAGGUUCGGAAUAACUCCCCGAAAGGGGUGCUAAUACCGGAUAAUGUCUUCGGACCAAAGAUUUAUCGCCUUUGGAUGGGCCCGCGUUGGAUUAGCUAGUUGGUAGGGUAAAAGCCUACCAAGGCGACGAUCCAUAGCUGGUCUGAGAGGAUGAUCAGCCACACUGGGACUGAGACACGGCCCAGACUCCUACGGGAGGAAGCAGUGGGGAAUAUUGGACAAUGGGCGAAAGCCUGAUCCAGCAAUGCCGCGUGAGUGAUGAAGGCCUUAGGGUUGUAAAGCUCUUUUACCCGGGAUGAUAAUGACAGUACCGGGAGAAUAAGCUCCGGCUAACUCCGUG
RNAcentral lists this ribosomal RNA (433 nucleotides) under uncultured bacterium. RNAcentral's name for it is "partial 16S ribosomal RNA". It matches the Rfam family "Bacterial small subunit ribosomal RNA", at positions 29 to 507 of the family's 1533-position model. The record is from RNAcentral.